GUGAACGCUGGCGGCAGGCCUAACACAUGCAAGUCGAGCGGCAGCGCGGGGCAACCUGGCGGCGAGCGGCGGACGGGUGAGGAAUACAUCGGAAUCUACCUUCUUGUGGGGGAUAACGUAGGGAAACUUACGCUAAUACCGCAUACGACCUGAGGGUGAAAGCAGGGGACCGCAAGGCCUUGCGCGAGAAGAUGAGCCGAUGUCCGAUUAGCUAGUUGGUGAGGUAAAGGCUCACCAAGGCGACGAUCGGUAGCUGGUCUGAGAGGAUGAUCAGCCACACUGGAACUGAGACACGGUCCAGACUCCUACGGGAGGCAGCAGUGGGGAAUAUUGGACAAUGGGCGCAAGCCUGAUCCAGCCAUGCCGCGUGUGUGAAGAAGGCCUUCGGGUUGUAAAGCACUUUUGUUCGGGAAGAAAUCUUCCGACCUAAUACGUCGGGAGGAUGACGGUACCGAAAGAAUAAGCACCGGCUAACUUCGU
This 480-nucleotide ribosomal RNA is filed under the name uncultured bacterium. Its description in RNAcentral is "bacterial SSU rRNA". It matches the Rfam family "Bacterial small subunit ribosomal RNA", at positions 29 to 506 of the family's 1533-position model. The record is from RNAcentral.